CAAUAGCGUAUAUUUAAGUUGUUGCAGUUAAAAAGCUCGUAGUUGAAUUUUUGCUUGCCGCCGAUGUCGGAACUUCCGUACGUUCGGCGGCGUGCAUCCUUGGGUGGAACCUGUGUGGCAUUAGGUUGUCGUGCAGGGGAUGCUCAUCGUUUACUGUGAAAAAAUUAGAGUGUUCAAAGCAGGCUUACGCCGUUGAAUAUAUUAGCAUGGAAUAAUAAGAUAGGACCUUGGUACUAUUUUGUUGGUUUGCGCACCGAGGUAAUGAUUAACAGGGACAGUUGGGGGUAUUCGUAUUCCAUUGUCAGAGGUGAAAUUCUUGGAUUUCUGGAAGACGAACUACUGCGAAAGCAUUUACCAAGGAUGUUUUCAUUA
Molecule: ribosomal RNA, 372 nt
Filed under: uncultured eukaryote
Lineage: Eukaryota
Description: partial 18S ribosomal RNA
Rfam family: Eukaryotic small subunit ribosomal RNA
Source: RNAcentral